AUUGAACGCUGGCGGCAUGCUUUACACAUGCAAGUCGAACGGUAAUGACCAUCCAGCUUGCUGGAUGGGGCGACGAGUGGCGGACGGGUGAGUAAUACAUCGGAACGUACCUGUUAGUGGGGGAUAACUGCCCGAAAGGGUGGCUAAUACCGCAUAUUCUCCGAGGAGGAAAGGGGGGGAUCCCGUCAGGGACCUCCCGCUGACGGAGCGGCCGAUGUCGGAUUAGCUUGUUGGUGGGGUAAAAGCCUACCAAGGCGAUGAUCCGUAGCAGGUCUGAGAGGAUGAUCUGCCACAUUGGGACUGAGAAACGGCCCAAACUCCUACGGGAGGCAGCAGUGGGGAAUAUUGGACAAUGGGGGAAACCCUGAUCCAGCGAUGCCGCGUGUCUGAAGAAGGUCUUCGGAUUGUAAAGGACUUUUGUCAGUCGGGAAAAUUUCAUGGCCAACACCCAUGAGAAAUGACCAGCUGAAGAAUAAGCACCGGCCAACUACGUGCCAGCAGCCGCGGUAAUACGUAGGGUGCGAGCGUUAAUCGGAAUUACUGGGCGUAAAGCGAGCGCAGACGGUUGGGUAAGCCAGAUGUGAAAUCCCCGAGCUCAACUUGGGACUUGCAUUUGGAACUGCCCGGCUGGAGUGGGGUAGAGGGAGGUGGAAUUUCCCGUGUAGCAGUGAAAUGCGUAGAGAUGGGAAGGAACACCGAUGGCGAAGGCAGCCUCCUGGGCCUUUACUGACGUUCAAGCUCGAAAAGCGUGGGGAGCAAAACAGGAUUAGAUACCCUGGUAGUCCACGCCCUAAACGAUGACAAUUUGGCUGUCCGGGCCCUUGAGGCUUGGGUAGC
This 837-nucleotide ribosomal RNA is filed under the name uncultured bacterium. RNAcentral's name for it is "bacterial SSU rRNA". It matches the Rfam family "Bacterial small subunit ribosomal RNA", at positions 28 to 847 of the family's 1533-position model. The record is from RNAcentral.